RNAcentral lists this transfer RNA (75 nucleotides) under Patescibacteria group bacterium. RNAcentral's name for it is "tRNA-Cys". It matches the Rfam family "tRNA". Rfam says of the family: Transfer RNA (tRNA) molecules are approximately 80 nucleotides in length. Their secondary structure includes four short double-helical elements and three loops (D, anti-codon, and T loops). Further hydrogen bonds mediate the characteristic L-shaped molecular structure. tRNAs have two regions of fundamental functional importance: the anti-codon, which is responsible for specific mRNA codon recognition, and the 3' end, to which the tRNAs corresponding amino acid is attached (by aminoacyl-tRNA synthetases). tRNAs cope with the degeneracy of the genetic code in two manners: having more than one tRNA (with a specific anti-codon) for a particular amino acid; and 'wobble' base-pairing, i.e. permitting non-standard base-pairing at the 3rd anti-codon position. The record is from RNAcentral.
CGCCAGAAAGCCAAGUGGGCUGGGCAUCGAUCUGCAAAAUCGAGAACGGCGGUUCGAUUCCGCCUCUGGCGUCCA